RNAcentral lists this non-coding RNA (183 nucleotides) under Corvus brachyrhynchos (American crow). RNAcentral's name for it is "Eukaryotic large subunit ribosomal RNA". It matches the Rfam family "Eukaryotic large subunit ribosomal RNA", at positions 2139 to 2309 of the family's 3401-position model. Lineage: Eukaryota; Metazoa; Chordata; Aves; Passeriformes; Corvidae. The record is from Rfam by way of RNAcentral.
UGACCAUUUAAUUAAAGCAUUAUGAAGGCCUGUAGUAUGUGUUUAUGUGAUGUGAUUUCUGCCCAGUGCCUGGCAUGUCAAAGUGAAGAAAUUCAAUGAAGUGCAGUAGAUGGUGGGAGUGACUUGGGAUUUUCUUAAGAAGGGACUGUGGUUGCUAAAUGGGCUCUGCUGCAGAGGUUGCAG